This 72-nucleotide transfer RNA is filed under the name Candidatus Kaiserbacteria bacterium. Its description in RNAcentral is "tRNA-Arg". It matches the Rfam family "tRNA". From Rfam's summary of the family: Transfer RNA (tRNA) molecules are approximately 80 nucleotides in length. Their secondary structure includes four short double-helical elements and three loops (D, anti-codon, and T loops). Further hydrogen bonds mediate the characteristic L-shaped molecular structure. tRNAs have two regions of fundamental functional importance: the anti-codon, which is responsible for specific mRNA codon recognition, and the 3' end, to which the tRNAs corresponding amino acid is attached (by aminoacyl-tRNA synthetases). tRNAs cope with the degeneracy of the genetic code in two manners: having more than one tRNA (with a specific anti-codon) for a particular amino acid; and 'wobble' base-pairing, i.e. permitting non-standard base-pairing at the 3rd anti-codon position. The record is from RNAcentral. Lineage: Bacteria; Candidatus Kaiseribacteriota.
CCUCUCGUAGUUCAAAGGAUAGAAUGCACGCUUGCGGUGCGUGUGAUCUGGGUUCGAUUCCCGGCGAGAGGA